Molecule: long non-coding RNA, 6954 nt
Filed under: Triticum aestivum (bread wheat)
Lineage: Eukaryota; Viridiplantae; Streptophyta; Magnoliopsida; Poales; Poaceae
Description: long non-coding RNA (TAES_LNC027591)
Source: RNAcentral
AACACUAUCAACAUGAAGUGAGUAGGGUGAAUAUCGGGUUCAAAACCCAGGAGUAGAAUACCUACUGACUAAAUUGCAUCACGGGAUGCUUUCGGGAAUAAAGGCCAGAAUCAUCACACUGGGAUACAAAUCAUGGCUAGAUUACUAGAUGAUCCCCUAAGACACCUAGGGUCAUAAUAAUAAUUCCAACAUAUAUGUCGAGGCAAUAGAAUACCUCAACUCAGCAAUUAGUGUGAUUAACCUGGCCCAAAGGAACAUCAAAACUAGAGGGAAAGGAUUUGCAAGUGCAUCAGAUUGUUUAGAAACCUGGGAUGACUCGGACAGCAUAACGGCUGUAAAUGCUCAAAAAGAUUGGAGACAUGCUACAAAAAUGGUGGCAUAGCCACUUCGAAGCACAAUAUCAAGGUUUCGAAAUCAACAGUUAUGAACAUACGGAAGUAGUAAAACUGAACUAAGAUUUGAAACUAACAAUUCUAUAAGUCUAUGGAUUAGUAACACGUCAUCCUGAUAGAUAGAUGAGAAAGCCUAGUUUCUUCAUCCCCGUAGAAAAGAAGAGGUUGACUCAGAUCAGAAGGGCAUAAGGGAUAAGGAGUAAAAAGAGCCUUACGUUCCCAUCCCACAAUCAAUUCCCCUACAUAUAACUAAAGCAUUUCUAGACUCAACUUCGACCAUUUUGGCUUGGUAAUCCUACAGGCAGUCAAGCUCUGAUACCAAAGCUGUCAGGACCCCGACUCAAUGCCACAUCGAUCUAGCAUGUAACACCUCAUAUCACUUUGCGGCCUCACACACGGUAUUCCCACGGGUGUCGCCUUACCUUUGCCUGGGACCAUUUGCGCCUUUUGGCACACGUAUAUGAUAGUGUCGCUAGCAUCCAUAUGAUAAGGAGCCCAGGUUGACAUGGCUAGUCGUAAACCUAAAGUGGCACAAACUUACAGGGACAGGCAUCCAUGACCCAGCAUCGAACAUGUCGGUCAUCAGCGAGUGAGUUCCGGGCUGUAGCACUGGGCUAGCAGGACUCCGGUAAACCGGGCUGUAGCGGGCUAACAGGACUUCGGUACUCAACGCGUGACAUUUCCCCGAAGGGACAGACACAGGAACGAAGAAGGACACAUGCCGGCCAGCCUAAGUGUUCCGGAGCAGUAGCAAGCUACCAUGGCUCAAUGGAAACACUAGGAGACAUUUCCCGGUAAGAGAGGCUACUAAAGAUAAACAACUAGAUAGUCAAAUCCCACACAUACCAAGCAUUUCAAUCAUACACACAAUAUGCUCGAUAUGUGCAAAUACAACAAGGCAUCACAACAUGACUCUACAACACAAGUAUUUAUUCAAUAGGCUCCGAGGAGCGAGAUAUUACAAACAUGGGUCUUACGACCCAACAUUCAGAGCAUACAGAUCAAGCACAUGUNUAUUUAAUUUGGAGUUACGGUUGAAUUUCUAUGAAUUUUAGAAGUUUAGAGCAUUUUCUGGAAUUUCCUGUGUAGAAAUAAAUACAGAAAAUACUUAUUGCAUCAGCAUUGCGUCAUUCUGACGUCAGCAGUCAACGAGGCCGGUCUAGGUCAAACCUGACGUGUGGGGUCCACAUGUCAGUGACUAACUAACUAAUCUAAAUUAAUUAGUGUUAAACUACUACUAACUAAAAUUGUCAGUGGAGUAACUAAACUUAAUUAAAAACUAAUCCAGGAUUAGCUGGGGCCUAGGCCCACUCGUCAGUGACUCAGGCAAAAGUCAAACUGGGGUCAAACCUGGUCAAACUCGCUGGAGUUGACCGGGGCUCGUCGCCGGCAGGGCCAGAGACGGCGAAGGGGCUCGGGAUUCCUCUAUGGGGCUCCGUUUUGAGCGCGGUUUGCUGCUACGGCUUGCUGGAGCUCUCGCGCAUCUAGUGGUGGCGGCGACAGCAGCUGGGAUGGCCGGAGUUGACGGCGGCAACCAUUUCUGCGGCGGCCGGAGUUCGGCAACAACGGUGUGGGCGGUGCGAGGCACGGGAGGAACCGUGGACAGUCGUGUUCAACUCACGGGAGUGCGGUGAGCUCAGUGGUAAGCUCAGACGCGUGCUUGCACGGCCGUAGCCGCAGUGGCGACAUGGCCGGCGGCGAGGAGCAAUCGGCUCCGAUGGCUAUGGUGGCUAGAAGGCGCGGACGAGCAUGGGGAGAGAGGGGAAAGAGGCAUGGGCUCACGGAGAAUCCGGUAGAGGCAACAGCGAGGCCGGGGAGGGACUGGAGCUCGCGAAUCCCCGAAGAGUUCGCCGGCGGCCAGAGGUUGAAGACGAUGCCGUGGACGACGCUGUAGGGCUUCCGGCGGGGCGCGGCUGGGUGGAGAGGAAGGGGGCGUCACAGCGGAGCUCGGGGGCACGUCGGAGGGGCUCGGAGAUGGCUGUGGCCGUGGGGGAGCUCGUCGGCGAGGACGCGGCUGCGUCGGCCAUGGCGUAGAGGAAGCAAGGGAGAGAGCACGGGGGAGAGUGAGGUGUCGGAUGGACCGGGGCGACACCGGGGAGGCGUUCACGGCGUCGAAGCGGUGACCAGGUGUGAUAGCCUGGCUUAUUAGGGAUGAUAGACUACUCAUAUCAAUAAGGAAUUCCUUCUUUUCUGGAAGCCCAUUCGGACAGAACUCCAAAGUUAAGCGUGCUCAGCUUGGAGUAGUUUCAGGAUGGGUGACCGACCAGGAAGUUGCUCCCGGGUGCGCACGAGUGAGGACAAAGUGUGCAGAAAAGACUAGUAUUGAUCUGUGGGGCCAGUCUAGAUCCCGCCAGGAGUAACGAUCACCGGCGGGUGUGUCCGGGGCGUUACACCAGGUGAUGCAGACGAGUAGGGUGGUGGCGUGGCGAGCUCGGGCGCGUGCGCCGUGCCCCUCCUCUGCCUAUUGGCAGAGGUAGGCGAUGACUGGCAUGGGCCAGCACAGUGCUGGGCCGGCCAGUGGGCUGCCAGGUGGGCUGCGCCAGGUAAGUGGCUGGAUCCUUUCUCUCUCUCCUUUUUCUAUUUAUUUCAGUUUUCUAUUAUUCUAUAAAUUUUAAGGGCUUUAUUUAAAAUACUUAAACAGAUCCAAAAAUCAUGAAACUAAUCAUGGCUACUGUUUAGAAUAUAUCCAACAGUAAACAUUUUGGUUUAUGAUUAUUUGAGCAUUUAAAAUAUUUUAUAGUAUUUAAAUGCCCAAAUGCAAAUAGAGUAUGAUUUAAUUCAGAGCCCAAUAUGUCCUGCAAAAAUAUAAACCAUUUUUGGUAGAUGCUUUCACCUCAAACCAGAAAUAUUGAACAUUUUUAGAGGGCAUUUUGAGUUCAAUGAAAAAGAUUUUAUUUUGACCCUAGUUGAAUUCAUUUGGUGCUAGGGUUUAAGCAUCCCCAUUUCAAGUUAACUGGAAUUUAAACAUGAUGCAACACCAGAUGCUAGCACUAGGCAUUAACAGAACUAGGGAUGUGACAACUCACCCCCACUAACCAAGAAUCUCGACCCGAGAUUCAAGCGUAGGGUAAGAUGAAAGGGAAGCACAAACUAAUAUAAUCUUCACGAUCUAAGUUGCACUUCAAAUGAACGUUGAUUCGAUCACCAUCAUUGUCUUGAAGUCUUGCUCUGAGAACUCCAUCCCACAUGACAACAAGUAGAAAGGAAGAAUUUUAGAAGAAUCGAUCUUCCUGAGAUUCGAGCAACUUAGGAUCAUAUUAAUGAUCACAAGAUCAAUUCACGUAAUGAGACAUAGAAACAUCUCUGGAGCUGAGAGGCAAAACAUGCAUCAGGAGGGACGGAGGAAGCAAUUUGACGAGGGUUCCAAGCAGCGAGGGUAAACUGCCAUGAUUCCAUAACGGGGCACCUUAGGGAAGGUGGCUCGUAGAAUCAUCCCUUAAGUGGCAAAAAGAAUUACCUUUGAUUCAAAGAUCACUGAGGCUCUUUAUACCAGCUUAAGGCAAAACACAAUCGAUCAUUUGAAGGAGUCCGAAAGAAAGACAUUCUCGGCCAGAAUGGAUGAUGUGGACCACCUUGUUGAAGAUAACACAAGGGAUGAUUUUGCCUAUCAUCGGAAAUGGAUGGGACCCAAGAUAGGAUGGCACAAUGACAGUGCAAGUUGGGAACAAAAUACAAGUGCUGGGAAUGAUUCCAGUAACUGGGGAGAAACUCAAUAGCAGAGAGUGAUUCCACUAUUGGAAUGGUUAUAGCAUAACCGGGGAAACUGAGAACAAUCCCGGUUAGAAACUAUGAUAGCACCUAAUGCUUGUGCGUGCUUUCAAGAACUUGAGCAUUUCCAUAUUCAUCAAGGUUUUACCAAUAUCCGUGUCAGGGAUCCUGGCAACACAACAUACUACCAUGACGAAUGCCGGUGGAGGAUGCAGAUACAAAGGAAGACAACACUUUCUCAGAUUUCACCUUAGCGGGGCCAAGGGGGCUAAAUCUGGAUGAUCGACCGAGAGACAUUUAGCACUCCGCUUCUAAUGUUCUCCUUGAUGUGCUAGCGUAACCCAUUUGCAUGGUUUGGUAUCUAGAACAUCAAGUAAAAGGUCGGACUUCGGGAGCACAAAAGAAAAUCCAUAAGGAACAACUAAGGAGUAAAUCCUAUGAAGUCCUUAUGGGGAGGUGAUCAACUUCCUCAACCAAGAUACUAUAAUAAUAGGCCUUCUAGCUAGUUGGGUUGGCCACGACAUCCACUUUACCGGUUACAGUGAGACCAUUAUUAUCAUUCUUGGGAAACGUUCCAACCAUCAUAUCUGCCCGAGAUUCAGAUCUGGUUGGUGUUAGGAUAUUCCAGACUCAUCAAGUCUAGAAAUAAAAAUGAAAGUUUGCAACACAAAACGACGAGAUAACGUUGCGAGACUCUCAGGAGAUGAGCUACGAUAGCAAGCUCCAAAACAAGAGCUGGUUCUACUACAUACAUGUGAGCACGUUAUCCAAGACAAGAAUGACCACAUAGUAGUCUUAUAUGUAAAAAUACUACCGAGUUCUGGUUGGGAAUCACCAUCGAGGAUAUCGAAGCCCUUGCAUAAGUCCGGAUCCUAAGAAGAACUUCUUCUCCUUGAACAAAUUAAUCAGUGGCUUGGUGUGCUAGGAACACAUAUGGAGUGUAGGUAAUUAAUCUACCAAACCAUAGAAUACUUCGCACGUAUGCAUGACUGAUUUGGGAUGAUUCCAAGGGAAACAAAACAAACCUUUCUUGAACUCAUGGCGGCAACUUGCAUCAAUGCACAUGAAUUCGAGGAAGUCACUUCUUUCAUCCAAGCAUAUUCUUCAUGAACGAAACACGAAGAUAAUGCUUAUAUAAGUUUCCAACACUAGCUUAAUGUUCAACACGAAUCAUGGGGGAGACAAAAUGCUGCUGAUGGACUCAACAGCAACUCAUCGGAAUUUCCAUAUCACUGAACUUCCACCAUUAUGUGAACAAUGUGAUAGUAUUGGUCAGACCAAAAGAUGUAAUGGUGUAUGCUCAAGGAAUCAACCACGAGUAAGACAACAUUACGUAUAUCGUUGGUUCUAACUUGAUUUGACGAUGGCCCUCACUCAAAUCAAGGUUUGGGCAAGAUGAUAGGUUCAACAACUGAUCACGAGGACCAAUCGAUGAAGAAAUCAUCUUUCUACAACAAACACACAAACACAAGAUAUCCCUUUCGAAAUGAACUAAGUUAGGCAAGCUUUUAUCUUCCAACUCUCCAAGUUGCUGUUCAGCUUAACCAACUAGCUUAGGGGUAUCCAACACAGAUUCUUGGAGAAGGGGUGGUUUAUAAGAAAUCCAACUUGAUCACGAGCUCAACAUAACAGUCAGGGGAUAACCUGGUAACACUUCCGAGAAGAUAUUCGGAAAAUCACGAACCACCGAUAUGCUAUUAAGCUCGAGAACAAUCUUGCUUUUGAGGGCAGGAUGAUAUGAUCAAAUGAGCGAGGACUUGACAAGAUCCUAACUCAUCAAUCGAAGUGUGCACCAGGAAAAUGGACUAGGUGGCACAAUCAACCUUAGGGUGAUGAUUCAAUAAUCAACACGCUAAGAAUGAGAAUAUUGUCCAUUAACUACCAAGCAACAGAGUUACUAGGAGUAUUGAUUUCACACAUCAUGGUUCACUUGCCGGCAUUCCGGUUGCGACAACACGGGACCGAGAAAUGAAAAAUGAUGGCAAGAGGUAUCACUGCGUCAAGAAUUCAUGAGAGAUGGUGCAAUUCUCAUGAUAAUCCUCACAUAAAGGGGGUAAUACUCCAGGGUAGACCAGAAUCAAAAGCUAGGUUGGCAUUUUGAUUUGCGAGAUACAACUACUUUGACCCAAUCCUGGAUAUAGAUGAGGUACUGGAGUUUGUUUCUCCUUGUCAUUCCAGAAUAGAAUGGCUUGACGGACCACAAGAGUAAUAGGCAUCGAUAAACGAAUGCACGCAUACUCUUGACUAUCAAUUGAUAGACGAGGGUCAGAAUACAACUAAAGAGAGACAACUCAAAAGAACAUCUGAUUUUCUGAGUUGUGGAUGCAUAGAUUAGUAAGUCGAGCAAAGCUCAGCAUUUCUUCCGGAUAACCCAUGCAGGAAGGUAGAGUUAGCAGAUUCACAAUAUAGAAUGAGGAACUCAUCAAGAGCACUCUUAUUGUGAUCUUUUGCUUCAAAGGAACUCCUGCCAAGGAUGGUUCAUGGUAUUUGGAAGAAUGAUAUACCACGGACCUCGCAGUCUAUCUCAAAAGUUACUAAUAACCUAAAGGAACGAGCAAACACUAUCAACAUGAAGUGAGUAGGGUGAAUAUCGGGUUCAAAACCCAGGAGUAGAAUACCUACUGACUAAAUUGCAUCACGGGAUGCUUUUGGGAAUAAAGGCCAGAAUCAUCACACUGGGAUACAAAUCAUGGCUACAUUACUAGAUGAUCCCCUAAGACACCUAGGGUCAUAAUAAUAAUUCCAGCAUAUAUGUCGAGGUAAUAGAAUACCUCAACUCAGCAAUUAGUGUGAUUAACCUGGCCCAAAGGAACAUCAAAACCAGAGGGAAAGGAUUUGCAAGUGCAUCAGAUUG